Long non-coding RNA from Salvia miltiorrhiza (redroot sage), 1161 nucleotides. RefSeq lists it as uncharacterized. NCBI's taxonomy places the organism in Eukaryota, Viridiplantae, Streptophyta, Magnoliopsida, Lamiales, Lamiaceae. The record is from RefSeq and is a predicted model, not a curated record. The transcript is spliced from 3 exons.
UAACGUAUGAAAAAAAAAAAAAAAAAAACGCGACGAGGAUUAUUGAGCAAUCAAUAAUUAUUAUUUCCAAGUUAUAACUGACUUAGCAAAGUCAUGUUAUUUAUUAAUCGAGAAACAGAAGCAGUUAUAUUUUAUUAGUGCUACUAGAAGUCGAGAAAUUAUUCCGACUGCAACGCAAAUUCAAUCUACGGAUUUAAUCUAGAUUCAUAUUACUGUAUUAGCAUCACCAAGGCAUGAGGAUAUAAUUCAUUUAUUCAUCAAUCUCAUUCUCAUACUUUACAAACUCUUAUAACCAAUUACAGUUUCACCUAUCAAUGCUAUGAAGUAGAUACAUGAAUAUGCUAGACAUAUAUGUAAGCAUACAAUCAUCAUUAUUUUUUUCCACUCCCUAAUGUCUCCUACACUAUACACGCAUAAUCUCCACUUCUCCACUCCACCAACUAUCUCCACCACCUUUUGCUUUCUUCCACUACAUUUUUUCUCACCACCCUUUCCACUCCACUAAUUCCACUACACCAAACUUUCCACCUACUCCCUUCCCCACCACACGCAAGAAUGCAUCUAACAUUCCAUUAUACAGGCAACAAUCUUUUCAUCAUCUUCAUUCUUCACUAAGGAACCGAAGAGCAGCCACGAGUUCUGCCAUAAGCACACUGCUCCGGCAGUGUUUUGCAAGGCGAUUCCAGCCAUCCAAAAGGUCCGGGCGACAGAAAGUGAAGCCGAAGAAGAAACGACUCCACGCCAGCUUUAAGAACAAUUGAGGCAACAAUCUUUUCAUCAUCUUCAUUCUUCACUAAGGAACCGAAGAGCAGCCACGAGUUCUGCCAUAAGCACACUGCUCCGGCAGUGUUUUGCAAGGCGAUUCCAGCCAUCCAAAAGGUCCGGGCGACAGAAAGUGAAGCCGAAGAAGAAACGACUCCACGCCAGCUUUAAGAACAAUUGAGGUUGAGUUGUGAUGGGCGAUGAAGUGUUGCUGAGUGGAGUUUUUGUCGAACUUAAAGUAGGCUCAGAAAGGAUACAUGUCUUCAUACAUGUAUCUCAAUUAUGCAUUCCGCUGUAAACACUGAUUAUUUCAGUUACGCCUUCCGUUGCAAACUCUGAUAAUGUUUUAGCCAAGCCCUAACGAUGCCUUUUUCCUUUUUAAGGAAUAUUUCACGCGUA